UGCUACGGGCGCUCGUUCAAGAUACCGGAGGAUGUUGUUGUCAUAAUGUGCGGGACUAAAACGAUUAUUCAUUACCAGCCCUAGUUGGGGAAAUGUGCCCUUGUAUCCUUGUAUGCAUGACAGUAGUACAAACAUGAAUAACAUUGCUGCUUUUGGUGUUCAGGCAAGCACAUCUGUUCACGGUGCUAGGCUACAUCACGUAGCAUGCCAGACGGUCCCACCAAAGAUGCGCACACAUGGCACGCAGCUUUCUAUGAAAACACUGCGACCUCACUACAAAAGUACAGGCACACAGAAAACUGUGCUGCACUGAUGUCGGUGUUGGGACCUCAGCUGUAAGAGACCUCGCUUGGAGGAGGGAGAGGACAACCCAAGUUGUUCAAGUAUGGACUUCGGAGAGCCACAGGAUGCUACCUAUGAUCCUGAUGACUCGAUCAGUCUUGACUGAGUCAGCAGAUGUGACAUCACGUGGAUAACCUGUUGGACCUCAUCUUUCACCAGGUUUUUCAGGACCCAGCCCCAUAUGUGAAUGAGGUGCUGAAGAUCUCAAAACCUGAGGACCUCUCUGCUAAGUAUGAGAAACCUGACAAGCAGGAAGUUAUAGCCAGCUAUGUGUCGAGUUUCAAUCAAGGGCAGUUCUGAACCCUGUAUAACUUCCCUGAGCAUCAGGGAACACUCUGCGUAUCUGGAGCACCGAGCAGGAGGGCAGGACCACCCUGAUUCUCCGGCCCAGAUAGCCUCAACACCAGCUCACAAAGCUUCUCUACGACAAAUACCUGUAACGGCUGAGCAAAGUUCACAUUGUAUUUAGAGAAUAAAGGUGACACACAAAUAUAAAGUGUUCCUUUGUUUACAGUAUGGCUACUGAUGGCACAAAUUGUAUUUUUGUAAUGAAUGUAUUUAUUAUACUUGGUAUUUUUUGUAUUUAUUACCUCUGUCCCAGCCAGUACAUUUAAUAACUAUUUUUUAAAAGCUCUGUGGCAUUCU
Pleuronectes platessa (European plaice) is the source of this 987-nucleotide long non-coding RNA. RefSeq lists it as uncharacterized. Lineage: Eukaryota; Metazoa; Chordata; Actinopteri; Pleuronectiformes; Pleuronectidae. The transcript has 3 exons. The record is from RefSeq and is a predicted model, not a curated record.